RNAcentral lists this ribosomal RNA (723 nucleotides) under uncultured bacterium. RNAcentral's name for it is "bacterial SSU rRNA". It matches the Rfam family "Bacterial small subunit ribosomal RNA", at positions 75 to 793 of the family's 1533-position model. The record is from RNAcentral.
UGACCUCGGUUAGAUGGCGACGACCGGCGCACGGGUGAGUAACGCGUAUGCAACCUACCUUUAACAGGAGAAUAGCCCCGAGAAAUCGGGAUUAAUGCUCCAUAAGAUUAAUUUGUUACCUAACAGAUUACUUAAAGCUACGGCGGUUAAAGAUGGGCAUGCGUACCAUUAGCUAGUUGGUGAGGUAACGGCUCACCAAGGCAUUGAUGGUUAGGGGGUCUGAGAGGAUUAUCCCCCACACUGGUACUGAGACACGGACCAGACUCCUACGGGAGGCAGCAGUGAGGAAUAUUGGUCAAUGGGCGAGAGCCUGAACCAGCCAUGCCGCGUGCAGGAAGACAGUUCUAUGGAUUGUAAACUGCUUUUCUACAAGACGAACCAUAUUGAUUAUUCAGUAUCUGACUGUAUUGUAGGAAUAAGCAUCGGCUAACUCCGUGCCAGCAGCCGCGGUAAUACGGGGGAUGCAAGCGUUAUUCGGAUUUAUUGGGUUUAAAGGGUGCGUAGGCGGAGAGAUAAGUCAGUGGUGAAAUUUUGCAGCUUAACUGUAACAUUGCCAUUGAUACUGUUUUUCUUGAAUACAAUUGAGGUAGGCGGAAUGUGUAGUGUAGCGGUGAAAUGCUUAGAUAUUACACAGAACACCGAUUGCGAAGGCAGCUUACUAAAUUGUGAUUGACGCUGAGGCACGAAAGCGUGGGGAGCGAACAGGAUUAGAUACCCUGGUAG